UUUUUUUUUGAAUAUCAAGAGAUUCUGGGCCGAAGCUCUUAAUCCUCCAGGCCCGAAACAAGAGCAUGUAAACUCCAGAAACUAUCAGAUUUAAUUAUACGCAAUUUAUGCGAUUGUGAUGAACGAACCCAUGAACAACUCCACGAUGUGCAACUCUCUCCGUAACAUUGUCAUCUCUUACCUAACGAUUCUUACUUAUAUAUGUUUUACCUACGAUGGACAAUCUUAUCUCUAUAGGGAAGACUAAAACGAACGGUUCUGCUUGCAGCAUUCUGGGACUUUUGAUUAGUAUGCCAAACUAGUUUAUU
RNAcentral lists this small RNA (308 nucleotides) under Arabidopsis thaliana (thale cress). RNAcentral's name for it is "ATSL012820". The record is from RNAcentral. Lineage: Eukaryota; Viridiplantae; Streptophyta; Magnoliopsida; Brassicales; Brassicaceae.